This 497-nucleotide ribosomal RNA is filed under the name uncultured bacterium. RNAcentral's name for it is "partial 16S ribosomal RNA". It matches the Rfam family "Bacterial small subunit ribosomal RNA", at positions 28 to 507 of the family's 1533-position model. The record is from RNAcentral.
GAUGAACGCUGGCGGCGUGCCUAAUACAUGCAAGUCGAGCGAACAGACGAGGAGCUUGCUCCUCUGUCGUUAGCGGCGGACGGGUGAGUAACACGUGGAUAACCUACCUAUAAGACUGGGAUAACUUCGGGAAACCGGAGCUAAUACCGGAUAAUAUAUUGAACCGCAUGGUUCAAUAGUGAAAGACGGUUUUGCUGUCACUUAUAGAUGGAUCCGCGCCGCAUUAGCUAGUUGGUAAGGUAACGGCUUACCAAGGCAACGAUGCGUAGCCGACCUGAGAGGGUGACCGGCCACACUGGAACUGAGACACGGUCCAGACUCCUACGGGAGGCAGCAGUAGGGAAUCUUCCGCAAUGGGCGAAAGCUUGACGGAGCAACGCCGCGUGAGUGAUGAAGGUCUUCGGAUCGUAAAACUCUGUUAUUAGGGAAGAACAAAUGUGUAAGUAACUAUGCACGUCUUGACGGUACCUAAUCAGAAAGCCACGGCUAACUACGUG